This 253-nucleotide ribosomal RNA is filed under the name uncultured bacterium. RNAcentral's name for it is "partial 16S ribosomal RNA". It matches the Rfam family "Bacterial small subunit ribosomal RNA", at positions 524 to 776 of the family's 1533-position model. The record is from RNAcentral.
UACAGAGGGGGCAAGCGUUAUUCGGAAUUAUUGGGUGUAAAGGGCGCGUAGGCGGCCAUUCAAGUGACGGGUGAAAGCCCUCGGCUUAACCGAGGAACUGCCUGUCAGACUGGAUGGCUUGAGACCGGGAGAGGUGAGUGGAAUUCCCAGUGUAGCGGUGAAAUGCGUAGAUAUUGGGAGGAACACCAGUGGCGAAGGCGGCUCACUGGACCGGAACUGACGCUGAGGCGCGAAAGCGUGGGGAGCAAACAGG